Non-coding RNA from Nicotiana tabacum (common tobacco), 2978 nucleotides. Lineage: Eukaryota; Viridiplantae; Streptophyta; Magnoliopsida; Solanales; Solanaceae. The record is from RefSeq and is a predicted model, not a curated record.
UAUAACCAAAAAAGAAGUUUGAAAAUUCCUACUGUUACUAUUGAAAAGGCUAUAACUUCCGUUGAUUUCGCUCAUCACUCAUUCCUAUACUCUGACUGUUAAGCUCUUAUUUUCCUUGUCCACCUUCCGCAAUUGCCGCAGAAAAGAGUUUCGACGAGGGAGAUCAGCUAGUGACUGUGUGAACUGAGUUCUUGAUUCUUGAAUAUAUAAAAGUAAUAUUUCAAAUUUCCAUUGCUACUUCAGAAUUGAACUUGACCCACGUCAAGAUUUAGUUAAAUGCCGUCUGGGUUGGUCUUGUUUUGUAGUCAGGUGUCACUGUAAUAUAUACAGAGACAGAUUAGAGUUAAUGAGUUCAAAAUGGAUGCAACAUAAUACUCAUAUACGUACAUUGUUUUUGGAUACGUAUACAUAGCUCGCUCGAGUGGAAGCUGUUGUUUCGGCUGCAAAUGGCUAUAUUGACGAUCUGUUUGAUAGUGUAGAGUCAUUUACAAUUAUAUUGUCCUUCAUGGGUUGUGUGGCCUCGAAACAGACCGUGUCGGUAACCCCUGCAUGUGAUCAAUAUUCAGGGACUUUCAGAGAAAAUGACGACAGUAAAAGCCGUGUCGGCAGUGAUGCAUUGGUACCUGAAUUUGAUUUGAAGAGAGGAGAAUUAUCAGGACUAAGUGGAGGCGAGAGGGGGUUAAACGAGUCGGGCAAGGAAAAUUCCAAUGGUGAUCAAUCAGUGAGUUUGAUGAAGUAUGUGGAAGGAGAGCAAGCUGCUGCAGGUUGGCCUGUAUGGCUUAGUACUGUUGCAGCUGAAGCCAUUCAUGGCUGGCUGCCUCUUAAACCUGAGUCGUUUCAGAAAUUGGAUAAGAUAGGUCAGGGUACAUAUAGCAGCGUAUUCAGAGCACGCGAUCUGGAAAGUGGAAGGACAGUUGCACUGAAGAAAGUGCGAUUUUAUAACUUUGAGCCAGAAAGUGUUAGAUUUAUGGCACGAGAAAUUUUGAUUCUUCGUAGGCUUGACCAUCCCAAUAUAAUGAAGUUAGAGGGGAUAAUUACCUCCAGAUUAUCUUCUAGCAUAUAUCUUGUGUUUGAGUACAUGGAGCAUGAUAUUUCAGGACUCCUGUCCUGUCCUGAAGUCGAGUUCAAUGAAUCACAGGUUAAAUGCUUAAUGAAACAGUUGCUAUCUGGACUUGACCAUUGUCAUUCUCGAGGUAUAAUGCAUCGGGAUAUCAAAGGUGCAAACCUUCUUGUAAAUAAUGAGGGAAUUCUAAAGGUUGCAGACUUUGGAUUGGCGAACUUCUCUGACCUUGGAACAAAGCAACCACUAACCAGUCGAGUUGUCACUUUAUGGUAUCGACCUCCAGAACUUUUGUUGGGAGCCACAGAUUAUGGAGCUUCUGUGGAUCUCUGGAGUGUUGGAUGUGUCUUUGCGGAAAUUCUUACUGGUAAACCAAUUCUUCAGGGGAGAACUGAGGUUGAACAGCUGCAUAAAGUUUUUAAACUUUGUGGAUCUCCACCAGAUGAUUACUGGAAGAGAUCUAAACUUCCUCACGCGACUAUAUUUAAACCACAACAUCCUUAUGAGAGCUGUCUUUGGAACACCUUUAAAGAUUUACCAAAAAGUGCAGUCUCACUCAUAGAAACUCUUCUUUCUGUGGAGCCACACAAACGUGGGAACGCUUCUUCUGCCCUUGCAUCUCAGUACUUCAAGACAAAGCCUCAUGCUUGUGAUCCUUCAAGCCUGCCAAAGUACCCACCAAGCAAAGAGAUAGAUGCCACAUAUCAUGAAGAUGCAAAAAGGAAGAAGCCAUGUGGAAUAGUCCGUGUACCUGAUCCAACAAGAAAGUUAACUAGAAAGCAGAAUGGCCUCCGUAAACUAGCACCAGAAGAGAAUUUGCCCAUCCAAAAUAAAGGUACUCAUAUAAGUGACAGCAAUAAUGUAACUGCUCAAGAAGAAAGAGAUACGAUUACAAGUCUUGAGCGACCUAAGCCAUCAGUUGAUAUGAUGGUAAAGACUUUUCAUGUCAAGAAUGCAUCUCAAGGUGAUGUCCCCUUUUCAGGUCCACUUCAAAUUUCAGGAUCAAGUGGUUUUGCAUGGGCAAAAAGAAGGUUCGAUGAUUCAUCAGUAAGAUCACGAAGGAGAACUAGUUCGAGAAGCCUUAUUUUUGAACCUUCAAUUGCAUUGCAUGUGAAAAAUAACAUGGAGCCAAAAGGACAAGACAACUAUGAACUUAUCGAUGCAAAGCAGACAAAUUAUAUGGACCAGGAUACCUAUGAAUCCACCAAGCAUGCAAUUCGUCAAAGUUGGAGCCAAUUAGAGCGGCCAGAUUCCUUUGAUGCUUCUGAUGGUUACCAUUCACAAGAACUGUCACUGACACAAUAUCUAAAAGAGGAAACUGCUAUCAAGAGAAUCAAUUUGGUACAAGAUCAAGGGGAUAAAGUCGAAUUUUCUGGACCAUUGCUAUCUCAAACACAAACAGUUGAAGAGCUCCUAGAGAAACAUGAGCGUCAGAUCCGCCAGGCUGUUCGACAAUCAUUGUUCCAAAGAGGAUUAAAAGUUCACCAAAUGUUUGCAACAUAGGAAAUCAAAGAUCAAUUAUCUACCCCUGUAAAUUCGUAAGGGAAAUCCUUACUCAAGCUCAAGAGAAAAAGGCAUGAACUCCAUCUUCAAUAUGGAGCUCUUCAUCUCAAUUCCCUGCAAAGGAGGGUCAUGCGGCUUUCUUCUACGCCAGAUAUUGCAAUGGAUUCCUUUAACGGAUACUGCAAUAUUUUUUAUGCCGGAGAAGAUUCGAGGGCCAGGGUUUUUAUUCAGUCUCUAUUUUUAGUUUUAAUACAAUAUAUACAAUAUUUUACUUGGCCAUAAAACACUAUCUCCGGCGAACUUUCUUCUCUUUUUGCUAUUUAGUCGCAUACAAUGAUAAAUAAUACAUUGUAUUUUGUACAAAUGCACUCAAAUACAUUGUAUUUUUGCAUAAAAAUAUAUAUUUUUGUUUGUA